CAAGAAGUCCCUUCCCCUCGAGUAUCAGCUUUGGGUCAGAUGGUGGGGAAUAGAUACUUCUCCUUGA
Molecule: transfer RNA, 67 nt
Filed under: Mus terricolor (Earth-colored mouse)
Lineage: Eukaryota; Metazoa; Chordata; Mammalia; Rodentia; Muridae
Description: tRNA-Pro
Source: RNAcentral